RNAcentral lists this ribosomal RNA (430 nucleotides) under uncultured bacterium. RNAcentral's name for it is "partial 16S ribosomal RNA". It matches the Rfam family "Bacterial small subunit ribosomal RNA", at positions 29 to 505 of the family's 1533-position model. The record is from RNAcentral.
ACGAACGCUGGCGGCAUGCCUAACACAUGCAAGUCGAACGAGACCUUCGGGUCUAGUGGCGCACGGGUGCGUAACGCGUGGGAACCUGCCCUUAGGUUCGGAAUAACUCCCCGAAAGGGGUGCUAAUACCGGAUAAUGUCUUCGGACCAAAGAUUUAUCGCCUUUGGAUGGGCCCGCGUUGGAUUAGCUAGUUGGUAGGGUAAAAGCCUACCAAGGCGACGAUCCAUAGCUGGUCUGAGAGGAUGAUCAGCCACACUGGGACUGAGACACGGCCCAGACUCCUACGGGAGGCAGCAGUGGGGAAUAUUGGACAAUGGGCGAAAGCCUGAUCCAGCCAUGCCGCGUGAGUGAUGAAGGCCUUAGGGUUGUAAAGCUCUUUUACCCGGGAUGAUAAUGACAGUACCGGGAGAAUAAGCUCCGGCUACCUCCG